This 1414-nucleotide ribosomal RNA is filed under the name Mycobacterium sp. RNAcentral's name for it is "bacterial SSU rRNA". It matches the Rfam family "Bacterial small subunit ribosomal RNA". The record is from RNAcentral. Lineage: Bacteria; Bacillati; Actinomycetota; Actinomycetes; Mycobacteriales; Mycobacteriaceae.
CCCCUUCGGGGGUACUCGAGUGGCGAACGGGUGAGUAACACGUGGGUAAUCUGCCCUGCACUUCGGGAUAAGCCUGGGAAACUGGGUCUAAUACCGGAUAUGACCACGAGGCGCAUGCCUUGUGGUGGAAAGCUUUUGCGGUGUGGGAUGGGCCCGCGGCCUAUCAGCUUGUUGGUGGGGUGACGGCCUACCAAGGCGACGACGGGUAGCCGGCCUGAGAGGGUGUCCGGCCACACUGGGACUGAGAUACGGCCCAGACUCCUACGGGAGGCAGCAGUGGGGAAUAUUGCACAAUGGGCGCAAGCCUGAUGCAGCGACGCCGCGUGGGGGAUGACGGCCUUCGGGUUGUAAACCUCUUUCAGCAGGGACGAAGCGCAAGUGACGGUACCUGCAGAAGAAGCACCGGCCAACUACGUGCCAGCAGCCGCGGUAAUACGUAGGGUGCGAGCGUUGUCCGGAAUUACUGGGCGUAAAGAGCUCGUAGGUGGUUUGUCGCGUUGUUCGUGAAAACCGGGGGCUUAACCCUCGGCGUGCGGGCGAUACGGGCAGACUGGAGUACUGCAGGGGAGACUGGAAUUCCUGGUGUAGCGGUGGAAUGCGCAGAUAUCAGGAGGAACACCGGUGGCGAAGGCGGGUCUCUGGGCAGUAACUGACGCUGAGGAGCGAAAGCGUGGGGAGCGAACAGGAUUAGAUACCCUGGUAGUCCACGCCGUAAACGGUGGGUACUAGGUGUGGGUUUCCUUCCUUGGAAUCCGUGCCGUAGCUAACGCAUUAAGUACCCCGCCUGGGGAGUACGGCCGCAAGGCUAAAACUCAAAGGAAUUGACGGGGGCCCGCACAAGCGGCGGAGCAUGUGGAUUAAUUCGAUGCAACGCGAAGAACCUUACCUGGGUUUGACAUGCACAGGACGCCGGCAGAGAUGUCGGUUCCCUUGUGGCCUGUGUGCAGGUGGUGCAUGGCUGUCGUCAGCUCGUGUCGUGAGAUGUUGGGUUAAGUCCCGCAACGAGCGCAACCCUUGUCUCAUGUUGCCAGCGGGUAAUGCCGGGGACUCGUGAGAGACUGCCGGGGUCAACUCGGAGGAAGGUGGGGAUGACGUCAAGUCAUCAUGCCCCUUAUGUCCAGGGCUUCACACAUGCUACAAUGGCCGGUACAAAGGGCUGCGAUGCCGCAAGGUUAAGCGAAUCCUUUUAAAGCCGGUCUCAGUUCGGAUCGGGGUCUGCAACUCGACCCCGUGAAGUCGGAGUCGCUAGUAAUCGCAGAUCAGCAACGCUGCGGUGAAUACGUUCCCGGGCCUUGUACACACCGCCCGUCACGUCAUGAAAGUCGGUAACACCCGAAGCCAGUGGCCUAACCUUUUGGAGGGAGCUGUCGAAGGUGGGAUCGGCGAUUGGGACGAAGUCGUAACAAGGUAGCCG